This 493-nucleotide ribosomal RNA is filed under the name uncultured bacterium. RNAcentral's name for it is "partial 16S ribosomal RNA". It matches the Rfam family "Bacterial small subunit ribosomal RNA", at positions 28 to 507 of the family's 1533-position model. The record is from RNAcentral.
GACGAACGCUGGCGGCGUGCUUAACACAUGCAAGUCGAACGGUGAAGGGACCGGUUUUUGCUGGUUCUGGAUGAGUGGCGAACGGGUGAGUAACACGUGAGUAACCUGCCCCCUUCUUCUGGAUAACCGCAUGAAAGUGUGGCUAAUACGGGAUAUUCUGCGCCUGCUGCAUGGUGGGUGUGGGAAAGAUAUUGUUUCGGUGGGGGAUGGGCUCGCGGCCUAUCAGCUUGUUGGUGGGGGGAUGGCCUACCAAGGCGGUGACGGGUAGCCGGCCUGAGAGGGUGGACGGUCACACUGGGACUGAGACACGGCCCAGACUCCUACGGGAGGCAGCAGUGGGGAAUAUUGCACAAUGGGCGCAAGCCUGAUGCAGCGACGCCGCGUGAGGGAUGGAGGCCUUCGGGUUGUAAACCUCUUUCGCCAGUGAAGCAGGCCUGUCCCUUUUGUGGGUGGGUUGACGGUAGCUGGAUAAGAAGCGCCGGCUAACUACGUG